GAUGAAGAACGCAGUGAAAUGCGAUAAGUAAUGUGAAUUGCAGAAUUCAGUGAAUCAUCGAAUCUUUGAACGCACAUUGCGCCCGCCAGUAUUCUGGCGGGCAUGCCUGUUCGAGCGUCAUUUCAACCAUCAAGCCCCCGGCUUGUGUUGGGGACCUGCGGCUGCCACAGGCCCUGAAAACCAGUGGCGGGCUCGCUAGUCACUCCGAGCGUAGUAAUACAUCUCGCUCAGGGCGUGCUGCGGGUUCCGGCCGUUAAAAAAGCCUUAUUUACCCAAGGUUGACCUCGGAUCAGGUAGGAAGACCCGCUGAACUUAAGCAUAUCAAUAAGCGGAGGA
RNAcentral lists this unclassified non-coding RNA (336 nucleotides) under soil metagenome. RNAcentral describes it as "partial contains 5.8S ribosomal RNA, internal transcribed spacer 2, and large subunit ribosomal RNA". The stretch from base 1 to 120 matches the Rfam family "5.8S ribosomal RNA", at positions 35 to 154 of the family's 154-position model. The record is from RNAcentral.